GGCGUGGUGGCAGAGUGGUUAUUGCGUAAGACUUGAAAUCUUAUUCCCUUGGGAGCGCAGGUUCAAUUCCUGCCCACGUCG
Molecule: non-coding RNA, 81 nt
Organism: Ophiobolus disseminans
Lineage: Eukaryota; Fungi; Ascomycota; Dothideomycetes; Pleosporales; Phaeosphaeriaceae
Source: the annotation of a GenBank genome assembly